Molecule: transfer RNA, 75 nt
Filed under: Felis catus (domestic cat)
Lineage: Eukaryota; Metazoa; Chordata; Mammalia; Carnivora; Felidae
Also listed under: 1 other name
Rfam family: tRNA
About the family: Transfer RNA (tRNA) molecules are approximately 80 nucleotides in length. Their secondary structure includes four short double-helical elements and three loops (D, anti-codon, and T loops). Further hydrogen bonds mediate the characteristic L-shaped molecular structure. tRNAs have two regions of fundamental functional importance: the anti-codon, which is responsible for specific mRNA codon recognition, and the 3' end, to which the tRNAs corresponding amino acid is attached (by aminoacyl-tRNA synthetases). tRNAs cope with the degeneracy of the genetic code in two manners: having more than one tRNA (with a specific anti-codon) for a particular amino acid; and 'wobble' base-pairing, i.e. permitting non-standard base-pairing at the 3rd anti-codon position.
Source: Rfam by way of RNAcentral
ACCUGGCUGGCUCAGUUGGUAUAGAGCACGCGACUCUUGAUCUUGGGGUCGUGAGUUCGAGCCCCACGUUGGGGA